This 678-nucleotide long non-coding RNA is filed under the name Bos indicus x Bos taurus (hybrid cattle). RNAcentral's name for it is "lncRNA (ENSBIXG00000011418.1)". Lineage: Eukaryota; Metazoa; Chordata; Mammalia; Artiodactyla; Bovidae. The record is from RNAcentral.
ACUAUUCUUACUUUCACACUUAAGACAUUCAAAUUUUUGAUAGACAUUCUUAACCUCAUCACUUUCUCCUAAGAGUUUCUAUCUCCAAUUGUUGAUUAAUUAGCACUUAUUGAAAGGAGGCCACUGUCUGUUUUCUCAACUUUGUAUUAACAAUAAACGGGGAAAGAGAGAUCUGUUUAAAAGAAUCAUGCCUUCUGUGACAGAAAAAUAUCUUUUAAGAUACAUUUAGAAAUAAUACAAUUGAAUACGGAACAUUAUUUUCCAACUUUGGUGCAAAUGAUAUAGCGAUUUAAGCACUUUGAUUUGAACAUUUUGGAAAGCCCUUGUUUAUAUACAAUAGUUUUUAUCUUCUGCUGUUUUAUUUGUUAACUUUUGUAUAUUUUUCCCUGUAGAUUUGCGGAAAAAAUAAAUUUGUCAGAAUGGCGGCAUCAACUUGAAUUCUCCAGGAUGACAGUGUAAAAGCACUUUCAUAACCUUAAGUUGGAUAUCAUUGGAAGAAGGAAAAAAAAACCACUCAGGCUGUCAGCCAAAUCAGGAAUAUUGGAAGGACUAAUGAAAAGAACUGGAGUCAGGGGUUUAAAAUAGGACUCUUGGAACCAAGAUAUCUGGAAAUAACACUUAUAAGGGAAUGGAAAAUAUGCAUUAUUGUGUACCAGACCCCAUUAAAGUGUUUUUCAU